Molecule: unclassified non-coding RNA, 2122 nt
Filed under: Hevea brasiliensis (rubber tree)
Lineage: Eukaryota; Viridiplantae; Streptophyta; Magnoliopsida; Malpighiales; Euphorbiaceae
Source: RNAcentral
UAUAAAUGUUGCGGCAACAUCCGGAUGAUCAGGACCUGAUGACAAGCCAAGAAGAAGCAAGGCCCGUGACAUAUGCCUCAAUGCAAGUUCUGUUUGGUUAAGACCAUGAUAGAAAAGAGCCAUGUUUCCAUAACUGUGUGCAGUGUCAGGAUGGUCCAGUCCAAGGCAUCUUUCAUUUAUGAUAAGUUCCUUGUGCUGUUGCAUUAUAGCACCAGCCAUAUCUCCAGCAUGAUAUAGAACCAUAGCAAGGUAGCGACAACAAUUGGCAACUUCCCGGUGCAUCGGACCCGUCACCUGCUGAAGUAUUGUGAAUGCUUCGGAAAAUAAAGUGUAGGCCUCACUAAGCAAACCCUCAGCUAAUUGAGCCUUUCCUGUUUCAACAAGGUCCUUAGCUUCUGAACUAACUGGGAUAGAAUGCUUCACCACUGGUUGGAGAUUCAUAAUAUCUGAUGCUUGAAAAGGUGCAACAGAGUCAAGGUCAUAUUUACGAGCUGCAACGGUUACACCUACCUUCUGACAGAGAUUGCGUACAACUGGAAUUUUCUUUACCAGCAUUUUUGCAUCGUCAGGCAACUCAAACUGAUACUUGAGUUUCGCAAAUUCUUGGAUGUCAGACCACAAACUGUCAGACGUGAUACUCAAAUAGGAGGACUGUUUCUUCUUGGCAGAUCCUACAUUUUUUCGCUUUCCCUGUCCCUUGGAUGACUUUUGCUGGUUCCCAACGUGGUCCUUCUUUUGGUUUCUAGAACUGUUGGCGCCGCCUUUAUUAGAUACUGUUUGCAUAUUUCCAAACAAACAGUUGUAAAAAUGUGAGAUUGUGUUUGCAAGAUCAUGGUCCUCAGCAUCCCUCAGCAAAUCCUUGAGGAUGUGCUUUGCACAUCUGACAAGAAUCUCGUUGGAACAAAGAUCCCAUAAAUGAGGCAAGUUCCUAGUUCCCUCGGCCACUGUUCCUAGAUAACGCAAAUUAAUUCCAUGUGCAUGGAGGGCCUCAGUUAAAGUUUGCCCAUCCAUGGGUGAAACUUCAAGUGUGCAGAGAUCUUGAACGAACUUCGGAAGCACAGUGUCUUUCAGAUACAAACUCACUUUCUUCACAAGUUCUUGGUCAGCAACUAUCUCCUCUUCACUUCCAGCCAACUUAAAAUCUGUAAAGACGUUAGGAUUGAAAAGUAUAUCAUCAGUAUCUUUUCUUCCUGAGUGAAAACAGCCGUUGUUGGCAGCAUCCUUCACACUUUUCUCUCCCUCAUUGCUGUUAACUUCAGUCGGGGCAACGACGUCAUUUGCGGGUAAUUCUUCAGUGUUAUUUACACUAGUACAAUCAGAGGCCACUGGUGCCUCCCUUUCUAAGUCACAAUUGGAUUUUGAUCUCUCGGCAACUUCAGCUUGGCAAAAUGCAGUUAUCAACUCAGGUCGCAAAAUACAAAAUCUGGAACCUGGACCAGUAUAAUUUGCAUCACGAGGAGUGACCCUCAUCAAGUCCAACAGAUAAUGCCUAUCAUCACUACCAACAAUGCCCUUGCAUUCCACCGGUGCAGCUAAUUUGAAUUCAUUUCCAGAUCCAUCAAGGACUGUAUGUUCCUUCAAGUGCAGACGUUUUGCAGCUUCUAGCACCUUAGAAUGGAACUCGUCACUCCAGCAGAUUUUCUUGCCAUUAUCAACAGAACCGUAUAAGAGGGAAUCUGAUUUAUCACCUUGAAGGAUACCAGGUAAAACACUCUGGGCCACCACUCUAUGUCCUCUAUAAUCAAUUAUCGCCAUAGCUAGGUUGUACAGUCCAUGGAUAUCAACUUCCUGAUAUGCUUUUGUGCCUUUCAAGUCAUUAUUUGCGCUUGCAUAAGUGGCUUGCUCGCUUUCAGUCAACUGAGUUUCACCGGACACUUCAGGAGGACAAUCCAAGAUGAUGUUUGCAGCUUCUACAACUGAGCCAACAUGCUCAUUUCCAUUGGAAACAUCGGAGACUCCCUGUGGCAAAUUAUUGGUGGUUUUCUCUGACAAAUUACGUAAUAAGCCUGUACCCUCAACUUUAGAAUCAGCCACCUGUUUCUUGGACAGUUGCUCAAGAUCCGCAUCAACAGCAAAGCUGAAGAAUAUAUUAUUGUGGACAUACAUAUGAAAGCACUCUGGA